UACGUAGGUGGCAAGCGUUAUCCGGAUUUAUUGGGCGUAAAGGGAACGCAGGCGGUCUUUUAAGUCUGAUGUGAAAGCCUUCGGCUUAACCGGAGUAGUGCAUUGGAAACUGGGAGACUUGAGUGCAGAAGAGGAGAGUGGAACUCCAUGUGUAGCGGUGAAAUGCGUAGAUAUAUGGAAGAACACCAGUGGCGAAGGCGGCUCUCUGGUCUGUAACUGACGCUGAGGUUCGAAAGCGUGGGUAGCAAACAGG
RNAcentral lists this ribosomal RNA (253 nucleotides) under uncultured bacterium. RNAcentral's name for it is "partial 16S ribosomal RNA". It matches the Rfam family "Bacterial small subunit ribosomal RNA", at positions 524 to 776 of the family's 1533-position model. The record is from RNAcentral.